This 503-nucleotide ribosomal RNA is filed under the name uncultured bacterium. Its description in RNAcentral is "partial 16S ribosomal RNA". It matches the Rfam family "Bacterial small subunit ribosomal RNA", at positions 28 to 523 of the family's 1533-position model. The record is from RNAcentral.
GAUGAACGCUAGCGGCAGGCCUAACACAUGCAAGUCGAGGGGUAGCAGGAUUAAGCUUGCUUAAUUGCUGACGACCGGCGCACGGGUGCGUAACGCGUAUGCAACCUACCUUAUACUGGGGUAUAGCCCGGAGAAAUUCGGAUUAAUCCCCCAUAGUACUAAUGAAUCGCACGGUUUAUUAGUUAAAGCAUUGCGGUAUAAGAUGGGCAUGCGUCCUAUUAGCUAGAUGGUGAGGUAACGGCUCACCAUGGCUACGAUAGGUAGGGGGCCUGAGAGGGUGGUCCCCCACACUGGUACUGAGACACGGACCAGACUCCUACGGGAGGCAGCAGUGAGGAAUAUUGGUCAAUGGGCGCAAGCCUGAACUAGCCAUGCCGCGUGCAGGAAGAAUGCCCUAUGGGUUGUAAACUGCUUUUAUUUGGGAAUAAACCUCUUUACGUGUAGAGAGCUGAAGGUACCAAAUGAAUAAGCACCGGCUAACUCCGUGCCAGCCGCCGCUGUAA